Long non-coding RNA from Cimex lectularius (bed bug), 903 nucleotides. RefSeq lists it as uncharacterized. The record is from RefSeq and is a predicted model, not a curated record. The transcript has 3 exons. Lineage: Eukaryota; Metazoa; Arthropoda; Insecta; Hemiptera; Cimicidae.
ACAGGCUACCUAUGUAGGAUGAGAGAAAAAAGGAUUUCCUACCUUUCUGAGGCUUGUCGGGUCGGUCUCCUCGUCUCUCCGGGUCCUUCCGUCGAUUCGUCCAAAAAAACAACCGGCGUCUUCCGCUAUUUAGCACUUUAACCAAAAAAGUCAAAAUCAAGAGAGAAAAUGGCGCACCGUCCUUCUUCCCAGUCCUAUGUCCAUUAACUCCCACUCCCGAGGGCUCGGCUUUCCAUUGGUCGAACCGGCCGGGAGAAGACACGCACAAGGGAUCGGCGGAGACGAGAUGUAGCGGCUCUUCUGGGUAAUCACAGAUUCUCUCCCCUUUCGAGUUUCGGUACGAAACAUCCCCCAGCAAUCCGAACCGCAAAAGGGUGCGUGUAAGGCUCCUUCACAGAGAUGGAUUUCCUCAAGCGAGUGGGAAUCGUGGCAUCAACCGGCUCUUCUGGAGUGGUAGAUGGGAGCGUCAGUCCCGUAGCGGAAGUUCCGCAGGCUGGCAUGGACCUGGCGCCAGGAUCCGUUGACUGUCCUGACCGAGACCGGAACACCGCCCCAUAUAUCUGCAAAGGAGGAAAAUCAAGGAAACCCGAGAUAGAACAUGAGCAAUUCGGUGUACUAGGCCGUCGUGACGCUGCCUUCAACGCUAGUGUUGGACGUUGGUAGGCGUCCCGCCUUUACUGGACUCUAGAGUGGGGAGGUUACCGUCUGGCUAGCGGCUACUGCCGAGCCGCCGGUGCCGGUUUUACUAGGAAAAAGGUGAUUUUAAAAGGAAAAUCAUGAGGAUAAGAGGAAGGUAGACUUCAUCACAGAGAGAAACGGCAAAAAAAGGUUGAUUGGUGAAUUCUUCAUCUUAUGAUCAUCUAGAUUUGAAGUUUUGUUAAAUAAAAAUAAAUUGUUGGAAUA